GGAAUAUUGGUCAAUGGGCGGAAGCCUGAACCAGCCAUGCCGCGUGCAGGAAUAAGGCCCUAUGGGUCGUAAACUGCUUUUGACGGGGAGCAAUAAGGGUCACGUGUGGCCCGAUGAGAGUACUCGUCGAAUAAGCAUCGGCUAACUCCGUGCCAGCAGCCGCGGUAAUACGGAGGAUGCAAGCGUUAUCCGGAUUUAUUGGGUUUAAAGGGUGCGUAGGCGGAUGUGUAAGUCAGGGGUGAAAUGCCGGGGCUCAACCUCGGAACUGCCUUUGAUACUGCAUGUCUGGAGUCCGGAUGCCGUGGGAGGAAUGAGUAGUGUAGCGGUGAAAUGCAUAGAUAUUACUCAGAACACCGAUUGCGAAGGCAUCUCACGAAUCCGGGACUGACGCUGAGGCACGAAAGCGUGGGGAUCAAACA
Molecule: ribosomal RNA, 419 nt
Filed under: uncultured bacterium
Lineage: Bacteria
Description: bacterial SSU rRNA
Rfam family: Bacterial small subunit ribosomal RNA
Source: RNAcentral